This 447-nucleotide ribosomal RNA is filed under the name uncultured bacterium. Its description in RNAcentral is "bacterial SSU rRNA". It matches the Rfam family "Bacterial small subunit ribosomal RNA", at positions 355 to 825 of the family's 1533-position model. The record is from RNAcentral.
UCGGGAAUUUUGGGCAAUGGGCGCAAGCCUGAUCCAGCCAUGCCGCGUGAGUGAAGAAGGCCUUAGGGUUGUAAAACUCUUUCGCCGGAGAAGAUAAUGACGGUAUCCGGAGAAGAAGCCCCGGCUAACUUCGUGCCAGCAGCCGCGGUAAUACGAAGGGGGCUAGCGUUGUUCGGAAUUACUGGGCGUAAAGCGCGCGUAGGCGGCGAUAUAAGUCAGAGGUGAAAGCCUGGAGCUCAACUCCAGAACUGCCUUUGAAACUAUAUUGCUAGAGUGUCGGAGGGGAUAGCGGAAUUGCUAAUGUAGAGGUGAAAUUCGUAGAUAUUAGCAGGAACACCGGUGGCGAAGGCGGCUAUCUGGACGACAACUGACGCUGAGGCGCGAAAGCGUGGGGAUCAAACAGGAUUAGAUACCCAGGUAGUCCCUGAGCGGGCUGGCAAGGCGCAU